This is a long non-coding RNA of Equus asinus (donkey), 1103 nucleotides long. Lineage: Eukaryota; Metazoa; Chordata; Mammalia; Perissodactyla; Equidae. The record is from Ensembl.
AAUGUUCCGGGCGGCGAGCUGGGCGGGUCGUGUCUUAAAUUGUCUGGGUUCUUUUUUGUUGUCUGAUAUUGUUGCUAGGUCAGUAGAUCAGUUCUCCCAGGAGUCUGUCAGUGAGUGUGAGGAGGGAGCCAGUGGGCUUCAGAGGAUCUGGGUGGCGCGAUUUGUGGCCCCCUCAGAGGAAGGUUUUCGAGGACUACCAGGGUGAAAUAUGAGUGCACAAGUAAGAUCAAGAUCUCGAGAAAGGGGAAAUGGUCAAGAGUCUUCCAAUCUGGUUGAACCUGUGCUUGCCCAGCAAGCAGGUGACAAAAAUUCUCAACAAGAGAAACCACCAGCUGAGAAUCCAGAUAUUGAACUUGGACAGGAGAGAGAAGAAGGAGGAGCACCUGCAGUUCAAGAUGGUGGACAAAUAACAAGUUAAAAAGAAGACAAGCUGAAGCCACACAUGCUGUUAGUUAUAUUGAUAAUUUGACAUGUUAAAUUCUUUCAAUAAGGUUUUACAGUUUUCUCAGAAGUCAUACACAUCUUUUGUUAAGUCUGUUCCUAGCUUGAUACUAUUGUAAAUGGUUAUCUUAAAAAACUCUUCAUGUUCUGUUUAGAGCUGGAGGGAAGGGUCAGGUCGAGGGGUGAUGUCAGCUGCUAACCAAGGAGAACUCUGCUAGGGUAAAAUCAGGCAGCAAAGCCCCACAAGCUGGGCAGUAGGUACUGGGCCAAGGUCAGCCAUCCCCAGGACUCGGGGACCAGACUCUUCCUAGAACACACUCCCUCAUCCUCGAGCACUGGCUGGCCUCUACUUCUGAGCCAGGUCCUGAAGCCUGCCCUGGGCAGCACUCCCUCCCGGGGACCAGCACUUGGGGCUACUUCCCGACAUGCCCCAGUGUGCCCAAGACCCGAGCCACUUGUUCUGGGCUCCCUCCUCUUGGGCUCCGUGGUGCGGCUGCCCACUGCCAGCAGCUCUCAGCACAGGGGCUUCCAGAGGUCCUCAGACCCACGCCCGCCCGUUCCCUCCACUGGCAGCCCCACGACCGAAGCUGCUUCCCUCCCAGUCCCACCUGCCGCCCGACCCGGGCCUCUGCUAGGGCUUCAGGGGCUUGAGGCGGUGUCCU